GAUGAACGCUGGCGGCGUGCUUAACACAUGCAAGUCGAACGAUGAAGCCCAGCUUGCUGGGUGGAUUAGUGGCGAACGGGUUAGUAACACGUGAGUAACCUGCCCUUGACUCUGGGAUAAGCCUGGGAAACUGGGUCUAAUACUGUAUAUGACUUCUCAUCGCAUGGUGGGGGGUGGAAAGAUUUAUUGGUCUUGGAUGGACUCGCGGCCUAUCAGCUUGUUGGUGAGGUAAUGGCUCACCAAGGCGACGACGGGUAGCCGGCCUGAGAGGGUGACCGGCCACACUGGGACUGAGACACGGCCCAGACUCCUACGGGAGGCAGCAGUGGGGAAUAUUGCAAAAUGGGCGCAAGCCUGAUGCAGCGACGCCGCGUGAGGGAUGACGGCCUUCGGGUUGUAAACCUCUUUCAGUAGGGAAGAAGCGAGAGUGACGGUACCUGCAGAAGAAGCGCCGGCUAACUACGUG
RNAcentral lists this ribosomal RNA (466 nucleotides) under uncultured bacterium. Its description in RNAcentral is "partial 16S ribosomal RNA". It matches the Rfam family "Bacterial small subunit ribosomal RNA", at positions 28 to 507 of the family's 1533-position model. The record is from RNAcentral.